This 106-nucleotide ribosomal RNA is filed under the name Anolis carolinensis (green anole). Lineage: Eukaryota; Metazoa; Chordata; Lepidosauria; Squamata; Anolidae. The record is from RNAcentral.
CUCAAUGGCCUAAAUGUCCUAAAUGCCCCAGAUCCCAUCUGAUCUUGGGAGCAAAGCAGGAACAGCUCUGGUUAGUACUUGGAAGGAAUACCUGGUGCUGUAGGCU